This 484-nucleotide ribosomal RNA is filed under the name uncultured bacterium. Its description in RNAcentral is "partial 16S ribosomal RNA". It matches the Rfam family "Bacterial small subunit ribosomal RNA", at positions 29 to 507 of the family's 1533-position model. The record is from RNAcentral.
AUUGAACGCUGGCGGCAUGCUUUACACAUGCAAGUCGAACGGCAGCGCGGGCUUCGGCCUGGCGGCGAGUGGCGAACGGGGGAGUAAUGCAUCGGAACGUGCCCAGUAGUGGGGGAUAGCCCGGCGAAAGCCGGAUUAAUACCGCAUACGACCUGAGGGUGAAAGCGGGGGACCGAAAGGCCUCGCGCUAUUGGAGCGGCAGAUGUCGGAUUAGCUAGUUGGUGGGGUAAAGGCUUACCAAGGCGACGAUCCGUAGCUGGUCUGAGAGGACGACCAGCCAAAUUGGGACUGAGAGACGGCCAUGACUACUGAGGGAGGCAGCAGUGGGGAAUUUUGGACAAUGGGGGCAACCAUGAUCCAGCCAUGCCGCGUGCUGGACGAAGGCCUUCGGGUUGUAAACCGCUUUUGUCCGGGAAGAAAUCCUCUGGGCUAAUACCCCGGGGGGAUGACGGUACCGGAAGAAUAAGCACCGGCUAACUACGUG